GACGAACGCUGGCGGCGUGCUUAACACAUGCAAGUCGAACGGGCCCGCCCCUGUUUUUGGGGGUGGGUUGAGUGGCGAACGGGUGAGUAUCACGUGAGUAACCUGCCCCCUGCUCCUGGAUAACUGCCUGAAAGGGCGGCUAAUACGGGGUGUGCCGGCUGGUCCGCAUGGGCCUGGUCGGGAUAGUUUCAUCUUCGGGUGUUUCGGUGGGGGAUGGGCUCGCGGCCUAUCAGCUUGUUGGUGGGGUGAUGGUCCACCAGGGCGGUGACGGGUAGCCGGGCUGAGGGGGUGGGCGGCCACACUGGGACUGAGCCACGGCCCAGACUCCUGCGGGAGGCAGCAGUGGGGGGUAUUGCACAAUGGGCGGAAGCCUGAUGCAGCGACGUCGCGUGAGGGAUGGAGGCCUUCGGGUUGUGAACCUCUUUCUCCGGUGGUGAAGGCCCUGUCCGUUGCGGCGGGGUUGACGGUAGCCGGGUAUGAAGCGCCGGCUAACUACGU
This 498-nucleotide ribosomal RNA is filed under the name uncultured bacterium. RNAcentral's name for it is "partial 16S ribosomal RNA". It matches the Rfam family "Bacterial small subunit ribosomal RNA", at positions 28 to 506 of the family's 1533-position model. The record is from RNAcentral.